RNAcentral lists this ribosomal RNA (630 nucleotides) under uncultured eukaryote. Its description in RNAcentral is "SSU rRNA". It matches the Rfam family "Eukaryotic small subunit ribosomal RNA", at positions 610 to 1270 of the family's 1831-position model. The record is from RNAcentral.
UUGUUGCAGUUAAAAAGCUCGUAGUUGGACCUUGGGCAGGAGGCACGGGUUGGCCGAAUGGCUCGACUCGGGUCUCCGGCCUCUAUGGGUGGUCGUGCCUUUGGUACGGUUCGCCCGGGUUACUGUGAAGAAAUUAGAGUGUUUAAAGCAGGCGAUUGCUUGGAUACAUCAGCAUGGAAUAACAAGAUAGGACCUGGUUCCACUUGUUGGUUUGGGGGCUUUGGUAAUGAUUAAUAGGGCCAGUUGGGGGCAUUAGUAUUCAGUAGUCAGAGGUGAAAUUCUUGGAUUUACUGAAGACUAACUAGUGCGAAAGCAUUUGCCAAGGAUGUUUUCAUUAAUCAAGAACGAAAGUUAGGGGAUCGAAGACGAUCAGAUACCGUCGUAGUCUUAACUAUAAACGAUGCCGACUCGGGAUCGGCAGACGUCGUUAGCGACACUGUCGGCACCGUGUGAGAAAUCAAAGUUUUUGGGUUCUGGGGGGAGUAUGGUCGCAAGGCUGAAACUUAAAGGAAUUGACGGAAGGGCACCACCAGGAGUGGAGCCUGCGGCUUAAUUUGACUCAACACGGGAAAACUCACCAGGUCCGGACAUAGUAAGGAUUGACAGAUUGAGAGCUCUUUCUUGAUUCUG